Sarcophilus harrisii (Tasmanian devil) is the source of this 496-nucleotide long non-coding RNA. RefSeq lists it as uncharacterized. The record is from RefSeq and is a predicted model, not a curated record. The transcript is spliced from 3 exons. NCBI's taxonomy places the organism in Eukaryota, Metazoa, Chordata, Mammalia, Dasyuromorphia, Dasyuridae.
AUUCAAAGUUUAUUGGGUUUGCCUUGGAUCACUGGACUGCUGAGAAAACUCAACUCUUUCAUAGUUGAUCAUUGCAUCAUCUUGCUGUUACUGGAUUCCUGGGUCUGCUUGUUUUGCUCAGCAUCAGUUCAUGGUUCCAAUAGACCUUUCAUUUAUUGACAAGAGGAUCUUAUAUUAUUAGCAGGCUGGUGACUCAGAUUUAUCUCAUGGAUGAUGAUGUACAAGUCAAUAUAUUACCUUCCUGAUGUCAUUGGUAUUCUUCAAGAACAAAGAAUGAACUCCAGAUUAUGGGAAGCUUGGCAUGUACAAACUAUGCUAAUUCUUUCAGGUCACUCUUUUUAGCCAUUACCAUUCCAUGGUAAAAUUUUCCCCAAAAUUUCUGAGAGAGGUCAUGCUAAUUUUAUUUUGGGGGAAUACUUUAGGCACUUGGAAAAUGAGACUCUAUUUCCCCCUCACAUUUUCUCUGAAUUAUGUGGAAGAAAAAUACAUAAAUGAA